CCUACGGGGGGCAGCAGUAGGGAAUCUUUCACAAUGGGCGAAAGCCUGAUGGAGCAACGCCGCGUGCAGGAUGAAGGCCUUCGGGUUGUAAACUGCUUUUAUAAGCGAGAAAUAUGAUGGUAACUUAUGAAUAAGGAUCGGCUAACUACGUGCCAGCAGCCGCGGUCAUACGUAGGAUCCGAGCAUUAUCCGGAGUGACUGGGUGUAAAGAGUUGCGUAGGUGGCAUAAUAAGUAGCUAGUGAAAUCUGGUGGCUCAACCAUUCAGACUAUUAGCUAAACUGUUAAGCUCGAGACCGUUAGUGGUAACUGGAAUUUCUAGUGUAGGAGUGAAAUCCGGAGAUAUUAGAAGGAACACCAAUAGCGUAGGCAGGUUGCUGGGACGGUUCUGACACUAAGGCACGAAAGCGUAGGGAGCAAACGGGAUUAGAUACCCCGGUAGUC
Molecule: ribosomal RNA, 442 nt
Filed under: uncultured bacterium
Lineage: Bacteria
Description: partial 16S ribosomal RNA
Rfam family: Bacterial small subunit ribosomal RNA
Source: RNAcentral